This 1414-nucleotide long non-coding RNA is filed under the name Homo sapiens (human). RNAcentral's name for it is "long intergenic non-protein coding RNA 1500". The record is from RNAcentral. Lineage: Eukaryota; Metazoa; Chordata; Mammalia; Primates; Hominidae.
AGAAUCAUAGCGCUGCCGCAGGUCUCGGGGCUGGUAGUAGCGCUGCCUGCAAACCAGCACCAAGGCUGCAAACGAAGCCAGAAAGAUGGUGGCCAGCACACCUAUGGCAACUAUCACCACGGUCUCCAUGCUUCCGGGGAGCUCCUGACUCAGUCCCGUUCACAUCGUCCUCAUGGGCUAAGGCUGCUGGAAGUGGCAAACUGGGGGAAGAGGAUGGCAGGAGCUAGGUUCCUCCACGACACCUCCAGAGACCUGAGGGCCUCAAGCUGCAGCUCCGGGGCACAUCCCGCUGCGCUCCCACGACGGCCCCGCGGAUGGCAAAGUCAGCGGCAUCGCCUAUGCAGGCAAUCAAAGGAUGUUGAUGGAUAAGUGUUUCAGGCAGAAUAAUGGCCCUCAAAGAUGUUGACACCAGAAUCUUCAGAACCUUUGCAUAUGUUACCUAACAUGACAAAAGGGACUUUGCUGAUGUGAUUAAGGUUAAGAACUUUGAGAAGGGAAGAUUAUCCUGGAUUAUACAGGUCGACGUUUAUUUCUUUCUGAACUUUCCUGGAGGAUCAUCGGCCAUACUCCAGCAGAAGGGUGGAUUUGAAAAAAUAACGUUUCCACGGCAACAGUGGCAGCAAUUCAGAGAUACUCCCAAAGUCCCAUCCAGUUAUAUCAUCAGGUUGAAAUUCCAGGAUCUCUUGGUGAUGGGUAGUUAUCUCCAAGUGUGGCUCCUGGGGUCAGAUCACCUACAGUCUAAGAGAAGGUUCUUUUUCUCCGCCAAUGGUGAUAGAUUUGGCACCAAAAAAAGAAGAGAAGAAACAUGACAGUCAUUGUUUCCACAGUGAAUUUGACUUGGGGAAGAAGAAGAAAAGAAGGUGGAUUUCAGCAUGAAAGAAUCUAAACAGUCAUUAGUGAACAAAUGUGUAGCAGUGCUGUCCAACAGAACUUUCUGAAGAAGUAAUGGGAAUACUCUGUAUCUGUGAUGUCCUGUAUGGUAGCCACUGGCCUCACACAGCUCUUGAGCACUUGAAAUGUGGCUACUGUGACUGAGUAAUUGAGUUUUAAAAUUUCAUCAAUUUUAAUUAAUUGAAAUUUAAAUAGCCACAUGAGGCCAGUGACUACAGAAUUGAACAGCACAGGUCUCACAGAUGGACUAAGAGUAAGCCAGUUACGAAGAAGCUUAUACAGGAAGACCGGCUAAAAUAUGUCAAAGGAGAGUUUCUCUUUCUGAACUCCGAGGAGCUGUUCAAAUAAGACUGGUCUGGAGAGAGUUUUGGGUGGCUGGAGGUAUUUUCACCCCUCCACUUACUGUGCCUAACCUUAGUAUUGUUGCCAUUCUCACGUUUCUGUAUGACUCCAUCUCCCUUGUUCUGUUCCGAUGCCGCUUUUUCAGUUUUUCUGAGCUCUCAAUUAAACACAGUGAAAUGAA